GGGGACGACAUGGCUUCGACGCAGGUCGCGAAACUCCAGGUGCAUGCCGAGGAUGUCACUCAACCUCGUUAAUCAUGUGACAAAAAAG
This 88-nucleotide transfer-messenger RNA is filed under the name Spiribacter salinus. RNAcentral describes it as "partial transfer-messenger RNA". It matches the Rfam family "transfer-messenger RNA", at positions 1 to 87 of the family's 374-position model. Rfam says of the family: Bacterial tmRNA, also known as 10Sa RNA or SsrA, is named for its dual tRNA and mRNA-like properties. Its role is to liberate the mRNA from a stalled ribosome. The record is from RNAcentral. Lineage: Bacteria; Pseudomonadati; Pseudomonadota; Gammaproteobacteria; Chromatiales; Ectothiorhodospiraceae.